RNAcentral lists this ribosomal RNA (1869 nucleotides) under Neisseria meningitidis. Its description in RNAcentral is "bacterial LSU rRNA". It matches the Rfam family "Bacterial large subunit ribosomal RNA", at positions 1068 to 2925 of the family's 2925-position model. Lineage: Bacteria; Pseudomonadati; Pseudomonadota; Betaproteobacteria; Neisseriales; Neisseriaceae. The record is from RNAcentral.
AAACGAAGUGGGAAGGCCCAGACAGCCAGGAUGUUGGCUUAGAAGCAGCCAUCAUUUAAAGAAAGCGUAAUAGCUCACUGGUCGAGUCGUCCUGCGCGGAAGAUGUAACGGGGCUCAAAUCUAUAACCGAAGCUGCGGAUGCCGGUUUACCGGCAUGGUAGGGGAGCGUUCUGUAGGCCGAUGAAGGUGCAUUGUAAAGUGUGCUGGAGGUAUCAGAAGUGCGAAUGUUGACAUGAGUAGCGAUAAAGCGGGUGAAAAGCCCGCUCGCCGAAAGCCCAAGGUUUCCUACGCAACGUUCAUCGGCGUAGGGUGAGUCGGCCCCUAAGGCGAGGCAGAAAUGCGUAGUCGAUGGGAAACAGGUUAAUAUUCCUGUACUUGAUUCAAAUGCGAUGUGGGGACGGAGAAGGUUAGGUUGGCAAGCUGUUGGAAUAGCUUGUUUAAGCCGGUAGGUGGAAGACUUAGGCAAAUCCGGGUCUUCUUAACACCGAGAAGUGACGACGAGUGUCUACGGACACGAAGCAACCGAUACCACGCUUCCAGGAAAAGCCACUAAGCUUCAGUUUGAAUCGAACCGUACCGCAAACCGACACAGGUGGGCAGGAUGAGAAUUCUAAGGCGCUUGAGAGAACUCAGGAGAAGGAACUCGGCAAAUUGAUACCGUAACUUCGGGAGAAGGUAUGCCCUCUAAGGUUAAGGACUUGCUCCGUAAGCCCCGGAGGGUCGCAGAGAAUAGGUGGCUGCGACUGUUUAUUAAAAACACAGCACUCUGCUAACACGAAAGUGGACGUAUAGGGUGUGACGCCUGCCCGGUGCUGGAAGGUUAAUUGAAGAUGUGAGAGCAUCGGAUCGAAGCCCCAGUAAACGGCGGCCGUAACUAUAACGGUCCUAAGGUAGCGAAAUUCCUUGUCGGGUAAGUUCCGACCCGCACGAAUGGCGUAACGAUGGCCACACUGUCUCCUCCUGAGACUCAGCGAAGUUGAAGUGGUUGUGAAGAUGCAAUCUACCCGCUGCUAGACGGAAAGACCCCGUGAACCUUUACUGUAGCUUUGCAUUGGACUUUGAAGUCACUUGUGUAGGAUAGGUGGGAGGCUUAGAAGCAGAGACGCCAGUCUCUGUGGAGCCGUCCUUGAAAUACCACCCUGGUGUCUUUGAGGUUCUAACCCAGACCCGUCAUCCGGGUCGGGGACCGUGCAUGGUAGGCAGUUUGACUGGGGCGGUCUCCUCCCAAAGCGUAACGGAGGAGUUCGAAGGUUUACCUAAGUCCGGUCGGAAAUCGGACUGAUAGUGCAAUGGCAAAAGGUAGCUUUAACUGCGAGACCGACAAGUCGAGCAGGUGCGAAAGCAGGACAUAGUGAUCCGGUGGUUCUGUAUGGAAGGGCCAUCGCUCAACGGAUAAAAGGUACUCCGGGGAUAACAGGCUGAUUCCGCCCAAGAGUUCAUAUCGACGGCGGAGUUUGGCACCUCGAUGUCGGCUCAUCACAUCCUGGGGCUGUAGUCGGUCCCAAGGGUAUGGCUGUUCGCCAUUUAAAGUGGUACGUGAGCUGGGUUUAAAACGUCGUGAGACAGUUUGGUCCCUAUCUGCAGUGGGCGUUGGAAGUUUGACGGGGGCUGCUCCUAGUACGAGAGGACCGGAGUGGACGAACCUCUGGUGUACCGGUUGUAACGCCAGUUGCAUAGCCGGGUAGCUAAGUUCGGAAGAGAUAAGCGCUGAAAGCAUCUAAGCGCGAAACUCGCCUGAAGAUGAGACUUCCCUUGCGGUUUAACCGCACUAAAGAGUCGUUCGAGACCAGGACGUUGAUAGGUGGGGUGUGGAAGCGCGGUAACGCGUGAAGCUAACCCAUACUAAUUGCUCGUGAGGCUUGACUCUAU